GUAUUCACCGUCACCCCUAGGCGCAUGCCCAGUGUUCACUGAUGAUGCCUCAGGCUGUGAAAGUUUGGUGCUGUGAUAGAUUCACAGCGGUUAUUGUGGUUAAUCAUCACUUGUUAAGCAUUCAAGAAUAACCAGCUCCCAUGCUUUAUGCAACUAAAAUUUCUGAAAGAGUAAUACUGAGCAAAGAUGAAUUUCAUUUUGACUUAUAUCUCACUAGUUUUGACUCCGGUGGUUUCUCACAUUGUGAGGGAGCAAUUGUCUGUAUAUAUCCGGUUUGCAUUUUAUGGCACACUAACAAAAAGAAGACAAGAGUGUCUUUAUUUUAAAAUGUUAAAAACCUUAGAUCGACUGCACUGGCGCUUCCUCAGGGCUGUAGUAGAAAAAUUCCACUUCUCACCAAACUUUAUGUAAUUAGAGUCAGCGCUCUACUCGAACCCGCCAGUGAACAGUGGAUUUCUAUCCUCUGAGUUCCAAAUUACAAAUGUUAUACAUUUCAGCUUUUGAACCCCUCGCAUACCUCAUACGAGAGGAUCCGAACUUAAAGGGCAUUACCAUAGGCGAAAUUACAUAUAAACUUACGAUGUUUGCUGAUGACAUCAUGCUGUCCUUUAUGACCCCUGAAACCUCUUUACCAUAUUUCAGCGACAUCUUAAUGAGACAUAGCGUCUGCUCAUACUACAGAUUAAAAGUCACAAAGACGUAGGCAAUGUACAUUCAUUUGAACACCGCAUCACUGAAUAGGUUGAAAACCGAAUAUGCAUACGGAUGGGGACAUGAGAGUCUCACCUUCCUGGGCAUAGAAUUCCCAACCAACCAGUACAACCUAUUCAAAGGAAACUAUGCCAAAUUAUCCAAAAAUAUAAAACACCAAAUCUUAAGCUGGAAAGGCAAAUAUGUGUCCUGGAUGGGCAGCCUAGCAGCCGUAAAAAUUAUCCUUCUCCCUAAACUUCAAUAUCUGUUCCAUACGUUGCUUAUCAAACUCCUAUCACAACACUUGAAGGGCACACAAAAAAUGCUCAAUAACUAAAUCUGGGUUAAUAAACGACCCAGGGUAGCAGCUUCCACAAUAUAUAGACCUGUCAGGCUAGGUAGACUAAGUGUACCCAAUCUAAC
Molecule: non-coding RNA, 1113 nt
Organism: Pelobates cultripes (western spadefoot toad)
Lineage: Eukaryota; Metazoa; Chordata; Amphibia; Anura; Pelobatidae
Source: the annotation of a GenBank genome assembly